This is a long non-coding RNA of Gymnodraco acuticeps, 843 nucleotides long. RefSeq lists it as uncharacterized. NCBI's taxonomy places the organism in Eukaryota, Metazoa, Chordata, Actinopteri, Perciformes, Bathydraconidae. The transcript is spliced from 3 exons. The record is from RefSeq and is a predicted model, not a curated record.
UUCCAGAGACUCGUCUGAGCCUGAAGAGAGAGCGGACAACAGGGAAGAGUGUGUACCUGAUCAGCCGGAGCAGCAGGAAGACCUUCAGUAUGCCAGCGUUCACUUCUCCAACAACCGGGCAGACCCUCUUUACUCCAACAUGAGAGCAGCUCAGCCCCUCGGACACACGGAGCAACAGGAAGUCCCGGAGUACGCUGCCGUCAAGUUCAGCAGUGCUGCCCCGAGGACCAGAGGUCAGGACUCUGAAGAGGAUCCAGCUGUAUUGUACAGCACGGUCAACACAUCCAGAUAAACACAGCAGACGUUGCAUUUAUGAUCUAAAAUGUCUGAUUCUUUUACAGUAGAAUGUUUAAUAAUCAGGUUAACUUAGAUUUUUUUAAAUAGAUAAAAUAUGUGCUUCACCAAGAUUAUAUAUUCAACAGUCGUUAUCUUAUUUUAUGUUUUACUUCGAGUGGGUCAGCAGUAUUGAACAUUGAAUAUUCACUCUUUCUAUUUACAUGAGUUUUUUUAAACACAUAUUAUAGUAUCAUUAUAUUUCGAAUCAUGCAUAGCUAUUUUUUUCAAUAAAAAAUAGAAAAAUAAAACUCACUGCAGUACUCCAAAGUACCCCUAGGGGUAGGCAGUUGUAAUUGUAAAUAUAAAAAAGUAACUUCAGCAACAACAAGGGUUGUGGUCCAACUGGCUUCCCACUGCCAGCUGUCUUUGUUGGAAAGCUGUAGAUAUGAAAUGAGUUAUAGAAGACAUUAGGCAAGGCAAGUUUAUUUAUAUAGCACUUUUUAACACAAGGCAAUUCAAAGUGCUUUACAAAAAAUGAAAGACAUUAAGAAAAUGGCAUUUUUAAAA